UAAAAGUUAUGAAACUAAUUUUUUUCUUUAAAGUUGUUUGACUUAUUAAAAUUUUAUUUGUUUUUGUAUUUAGAUGAGAUUUGUAGUUUAAAUAGAGAGGAUUUCAGUUUAUAGUUUUAUAAAUUAAGUAAUUUUAGAUAUAGCAAUAAUUAAAGUUUUAACAAAGUUUGUGCCAGCAGUUGCGGUUAUACAAACUAAGCAAUAAAAUUUUAUUUGUAGUAGAUUAAUUGUUAUUAUAAAGUUUUUAUUUAAAUUUAUUGGGUGAAAUUUUGAAUUUAAAGUUGACUUUAUCAGUAAUUUGAUUUUAAGAAAUUUUUAAUAUAAACUAGGAUUAGAUACCCUAUUAUUUUGAAUGUGAAUUGUUUAUACAGAAUUAGUAUUAGUUAUUUUCUUGAAAAUUAAAAAGUUUGGCGGUAUUUUAGUCUAUUCAGAGGAACCUGUUCUGUAAUUGAUAAUCCACAUUUAAGUCAGUCUGAAUUAUAAAUUUAUAUAUCGUCGUAUUUUGAGAAUUUUAGAGGAAGCUUAAUGCUCAGAAUUUAUAAUUAUAGAAAAAAUCAGAUCAAGGUGUAGUUUAUAUUUAGGAAGAAAUGGGUUACAAUUUCUGUUUUAUUAUUAGUGUAUAAAUUGGGAAUUUAUACUAAAUUGGAUUUGAAAGUAAAUAGAUAUAUAUAUAUAUGUUGAUUUAAGCUCUAAGAUAUGCACAUAUUGCCCGUCGCUUUCACAGUAAGGUGAAAUAAGUCGUAACAUAGUAGCUCUACUGGAAAGUGGUGCUAGAAUAAU
Molecule: non-coding RNA, 780 nt
Filed under: Apoderinae sp. 2 AV-2018
Lineage: Eukaryota; Metazoa; Arthropoda; Insecta; Coleoptera; Attelabidae
Source: RNAcentral